CGAACGCUGGCGGCGUGCUUAACACAUGCAAGUCGAACGGUGAAGCGCCUUCCUUUUUGGUGGGUGUGGAUGAGUGGCGAACGGGUGAGUAACACGUGAGUAACCUGCCCCCUUCUUCUGGAUAACCGCAUGAAAGUGUGGCUAAUACGGGAUAUUCUGGGUCUGUCGCAUGAUGGGUCUGGGAAAGAUAUUGUUUCGGUGGGGGAUGGGCUCGCGGCCUAUCAGCUUGUUGGUGGGGUGAUGGCCUACCAAGGCGGUGACGGGUAGCCGGCCUGAGAGGGUGGACGGUCACACUGGGACUGAGACACGGCCCAGACUCCUACGGGAGGCAGCAGUGGGGAAUAUUGCACAAUGGGCGCAAGCCUGAUGCAGCGACGCCGCGUGAGGGAUGGAGGCCUUCGGGUUGUGAACCUCUUUCGCCAGUGAAGCAGGCCUGCCUCGUUUGUGGGUGGGUUGACGGUAGCUGGAUAAGAAGCGCCGGCUAACUAC
Molecule: ribosomal RNA, 489 nt
Filed under: uncultured bacterium
Lineage: Bacteria
Description: partial 16S ribosomal RNA
Rfam family: Bacterial small subunit ribosomal RNA
Source: RNAcentral